UGGCAGCUACCUGAUCUUCCUAGUUCCUAUAAAAAACCUUUACUGAAGUUUGGGAGGCUCAUAAGUUUCAGUCUAUAAUGGAGUCCAUUAGUUCAGAUCCAGUAGAUAUUACAUCAUUAAGAGGAGAGGCUAUUACUAAAGGAGGUCUAUUGUGUAAUGAAUUGAGGAGGAAAGCAUAGACCAAACUAUUAGGAAUCAACAUAUACAACAUACCAUCAUGUGAGGACUAGCCUCAUGUAACACUAAUGUCAUGUGACAAAUAUAAUAUAUUAUACAGUGUAGUUGGUGAUAUUGGUAGACUAUUAAUAUUGGUUGGUUGGGUGUUGUAUGAGCACCUGUCAAUAUAAAAUACACUCCAUUUUGUUUCAUUUCUUUA
Long non-coding RNA from Amphimedon queenslandica, 376 nucleotides. RefSeq lists it as uncharacterized. The record is from RefSeq and is a predicted model, not a curated record. The transcript has 2 exons. NCBI's taxonomy places the organism in Eukaryota, Metazoa, Porifera, Demospongiae, Haplosclerida, Niphatidae.